AGUGAACGCUGGCGGUAGGCCUAACACAUGCAAGUCGAACGGCAGCACAGUAAGAGCUUGCUCUUACGGGUGGCGAGUGGCGGACGGGUGAGGAAUACAUCGGAAUCUACUUUUUCGUGGGGGAUAACGUAGGGAAACUUACGCUAAUACCGCAUACGACCUACGGGUGAAAGCAGGGGAUCUUCGGACCUUGCGCGAUUGAAUGAGCCGAUGUCGGAUUAGCUAGUUGGCGGGGUAAAGGCCCACCAAGGCGACGAUCCGUAGCUGGUGUGAGAGGAUGAUAAGCCACACUGGAACUGAGACACGGUCCAGACUCCUACGGGAGGCAGCAGUGGGGAAUAUUGGACAAUGGGCGCAAGCCUGAUCCAGCCAUACCGCGUGGGUGAAGAAGGCCUUCGGGUUGUAAAGCCCUUUUGUUGGGAAAGAAAAGCAGCAGGUUAAUACCCCGCUGUUCUGACGGUACCCAAAGAAUAAGCACCGGCUAACUUCGUG
Molecule: ribosomal RNA, 492 nt
Filed under: uncultured bacterium
Lineage: Bacteria
Description: partial 16S ribosomal RNA
Rfam family: Bacterial small subunit ribosomal RNA
Source: RNAcentral